This 225-nucleotide transfer-messenger RNA is filed under the name Aquifex sp. Its description in RNAcentral is "partial transfer-messenger RNA". It matches the Rfam family "transfer-messenger RNA", at positions 141 to 374 of the family's 374-position model. From Rfam's summary of the family: Bacterial tmRNA, also known as 10Sa RNA or SsrA, is named for its dual tRNA and mRNA-like properties. The record is from RNAcentral. Lineage: Bacteria; Pseudomonadati; Aquificota; Aquificia; Aquificales; Aquificaceae.
CGCGUCCCCGGUGGGUUUGCGGGUGGCCUGCCGGAGGGCGUCAGAGACACCCGCUCGGGCUACCCGGUUGCACGGGAUCGGGUAGCCGACACCUGACCCGUGCUACCCUCGGGGAGCUUGCCCGUGGGUGACCCGAGGGGAAACCCAAAACACGGGCUAAGCCUGUAGAGCCUCGGAUGUGGCCGCCGUCCUCGGACGCGGGUUCGAUUCCCGCCGCCUCCACUA